GUGCACGCUGGCGGUAGGCCUAACACCUGCAAGUCGCACGGCAGCACAGUAAGAGCUUGCUCUUACGGGUGGCGAGUGGCGGACGGGUGAGGAAUACAUCGGAAUCUACUUUUUCGUGGGGGAUAACGUAGGGAAACUUACGCUAAUACCGCAUACGACCUACGGGUGAAAGCAGGGGAUCUUCGGACCUUGCGCGAUUGAAUGAGCCGAUGUCGGAUUAGCUAGUUGGCGGGGUAAAGGCCCACCAAGGCGACGAUCCGUAGCUGGUCUGAGAGGAUGAUCAGCCACACUGGAACUGAGACACGGUCCAGACUCCUACGGGAGGCAGCAGUGGGGAAUAUUGGACAAUGGGCGCAAGCCUGAUCCAGCCAUACCGCGUGGGUGAAGAAGGCCUUCGGGUUGUAAAGCCCUUUUGUUGGGAAAGAAAAGCAGCAGGUUAAUACCCCGCUGUUCUGACGGUACCCAAAGAAUAAGCACCGGCUAACUUCGU
This 490-nucleotide ribosomal RNA is filed under the name uncultured bacterium. RNAcentral describes it as "partial 16S ribosomal RNA". It matches the Rfam family "Bacterial small subunit ribosomal RNA", at positions 29 to 506 of the family's 1533-position model. The record is from RNAcentral.